Molecule: ribosomal RNA, 397 nt
Filed under: uncultured bacterium
Lineage: Bacteria
Description: partial 16S ribosomal RNA
Rfam family: Bacterial small subunit ribosomal RNA
Source: RNAcentral
AUACGUAGGUGGCAAGCGUUAUCCGGAUUUACUGGGUGUAAAGGGCGUGUAGGCGGUUUAGCAAGUCAGAAGUGAAAUUCCCGGGCUUAACUUGGGCGCUGCUUCUGAAACUGCUUUACUUGAGUGCUGGAGAGGAUAGUGGAAUUCCUAGUGUAGCGGUAAAAUGCGCAGAUAUUAGGAGGAACACCGGUGGCGAAGGCGGCUAUCUGGACAGUAACUGACGCUGAGGCGCGAAAGCACGGGGAGCAAACAGGAUUAGAUACCCUGGUAGUCCGUGCCGAAAACGAUGAAUACUAGGUGUAGGGGGUAUCGACUCCCUCUGUGCCGCAGUUAACACAAUAAGUAUUCCGCCUGGGGAGUACGGCCGCAAGGUUGAAACUUAAAGGAAUUGACGGGG